ACAGUUUGUAUCAGUUUAUUAUGAUGGGUGUGCUUUGCUGAACUAGCUAGUUUGCUACAAAUGUCCUGAAACAGUCUGUCAGGGAAGUGGGAAUUGAAGCCAUAAAUGGGAUUUCUAUCAGACAAAUAAGCUUUAUCACAACAAAUUUGCUGGACGCAUAGUUUUUCAAUCAACAGAACUUACAAGUAACAUGAUGUCAACAAACGAUUGCACACUAGAGAUUUAGUAUUAUUUAUUGAACAUUCCAUUCGAAAGCCUUAGUCAACUGAAACUGGUUGCAUAUUUGCAGCCUCAUUUCUGAGUUCUUCAAACAGUACAGAAGUCAAGUAUCGCUCCCCGAAACUUGGAUGAACAGUCUGCAAUUCAAAUCAGUAAUGGACUUGUUCUGAGAACUUAUUUUCCAAUCAAGCAAUCGACACGCAAUGAUGACAAUGAUUACUUAUAGUGAAGUUGUAAGCUUUUGACAUCGAACCAGAAAUUUGUAUAGACUAAUGACUAGGAAAAGCAAAGUUGUUCUAACCACUUUCGUUGUUAUAUGAAUCCCAUUAUUUAAAGAGAAAAAGCAAUGAGCAACAUAGCUUUUUCUCCCCAAAUCAGUGGGCAUCCUUAUCACUUCAGAGUUGAAGUUGUUCUUACCACGAUGAGUUUUCCUUUGUUCUCUGGCAUUCUAGCAAGUCUAAGUGCAGCAACUGUGUUGGCUCCAGAUGAUAUUCCCACCUACAUGAACCAGAAGAUUGAAUCAAGAUUUAAACAACUAUUAAAAGCUUUAUGCUGCCCAUUUCUUAAAGCCAAUGUAUUUAAUAACUACAAGAAUGGAGAACUUGAAAAUAAAGCUGAAGCUCAUACAUUUUCAAUUCACAUCCAAGAAACUAAUUAAACACUGCAGUUUGUGUGAAAUGUACUGACAAAGGUGGUUGCAGUUGACCACCUAUUUAACCAAUCAGUUCAUAGAAAAUCUCACAUAGCAUUAGCGUGCUCAGUUCACUUAGAAAUAGCAUUAUAUUUAUAUAUAUAUAUAAAGAACAAUCUGCGAACAAGUUAACGUAAUUUAUAAUUGUUGUUCAAGUUAUUACCAUAAGCCCCUCCUCCAGUGCCAACCUCCUGGCCAUCUUCACUGCAUCUUCACUGCUAACCUGUCAUUUGAGCAUUUCACUGUCAGUUUGGCUCAUCAGAUCCCAAACAUUACAGAUAGCUUUCAUUUCAGUUCUUUACCCUCUUUAUAUUUCCUUCUUCAUGGUGAUACCUACCUCAAGAACUUUUUCCAUUACAUCCAAGUCCAAUAUGUCUGGUUUAAAUCCAACUCCGUUACCCAUAAUUUGAUGAGGACCUGGUUUACCACCGUUGAGCACAUUACUUUCAGCAGGCUCCACUCCAUAUAUCUUAACUUUAGGAUUUUGUGAUUUAAGGUACUGUCCAACACCGGAGACUGUUCCUCCACUGCCUAUUCCCAUCACAAAGAUGUCAACUUGUCCAAGUGUAUCCUCCCAAAUUUCAGGACCCGUAGUUUCAAAAUGGAUCUUAGUAUUUGCAGGAUUUGAAAAUUGUUGUAGCAUGAAAGCAUUUGGUGUGGAUUCCAAAAGAUCAUGUGCCUUCUUAACUGUUCCUCCCAUUCCCUUGGUGGGAUCAGUGAGAAUUAGCUCAGCGCCAAAUGCCCUCAUAGUUACCCUUCUCUCCAAGCUGGUGUAAGAGGGCAUGGUUAGAAUCAUCUUGUAUCCUUUCAUGGCUGCCAUAAAAGCCAUACUAAUCCCCAUAUUACCAGACGUUGGCUCUAUCAAGAUCGUCUUUCCAGGAGUGAUUAAAUUCUUCUUUUCUGCAUCAUUGAUCAUUGAAAACGCCGGCCUGUCUUUGAUGCUGGCAGUUGGUUGCAUCAUCUCUUGCUUGACGGCUAUGAAAGCUCCACAUCCUUCGGUCACUUUGUUAAGAUAAACAAGAGGAGUUCUCCCAAUAAGUUGAGAAACUUCAGGCUUGAUUUUAGUUCCAGGAAGAUUAUUAGGAAGUUUUUGAGCAAAAGAGGGAGAUUCAGCAACAGCCUCGGAAGAGAAGAACCUCCUUAUAGGAAGCUCGUUGGACGUUAAAUAUUUUUUCUUCAACAAGUUCCUAAGAGUAGCCAUUGAUGAAAACUUGAGCUCUUCCCACACUCCACAGUACUAUCAAAACCCGCUAGCAGUGGAU
This 2172-nucleotide unclassified non-coding RNA is filed under the name Hevea brasiliensis (rubber tree). Lineage: Eukaryota; Viridiplantae; Streptophyta; Magnoliopsida; Malpighiales; Euphorbiaceae. The record is from RNAcentral.